AUACGGAGGGUCCAAGCGUUAUCCGGAUUUAUUGGGUUUAAAGGGUCCGUAGGCGGGAAAUUAAGUCAGUGGUGAAAGCCUGCAGCUCAACUGUAGAAUUGCCAUUGAUACUGAUUUUCUUGAAUCUAUUUGAAGUAGGCGGAAUAGGUCAUGUAGCGGUGAAAUGCAUAGAGACGACCUAGAACACCGAUUGCGAAGGCAGCUUACUAAGUUAGUAUUGACGCUGAGGGACGAAAGCGUGGGGAGCGAACAGGAUUAGAAACCCUUGUAGUCC
This 274-nucleotide ribosomal RNA is filed under the name uncultured bacterium. RNAcentral's name for it is "partial 16S ribosomal RNA". It matches the Rfam family "Bacterial small subunit ribosomal RNA", at positions 523 to 796 of the family's 1533-position model. The record is from RNAcentral.